GACGAACGCUGGCGGCGUGCCUAAUACAUGCAAGUUGAGCGCUGAAGGUUGGUACUUGUACCAACUGGAUGAGCAGCGAACGGGUGAGUAACGCGUGGGGAAUCUGCCUUUGAGCGGGGGACAACAUUUGGAAACGAAUGCUAAUACCGCAUAAAAACUUUAAACACAAGUUUUAAGUUUGAAAGAUGCAAUUGCAUCACUCAAAGAUGAUCCCGCGUUGUAUUAGCUAGUUGGUGAGGUAAAGGCUCACCAAGGCGAUGAUACAUAGCCGACCUGAGAGGGUGAUCGGCCACAUUGGGACUGAGACACGGCCCAAACUCCUACGGGAGGCAGCAGUAGGGGAUCUUCGGCGAUGGACGAAAGUCUGACCGAGCAACGCCGCGUGAGUGAAGAAGGUUUUCGGAUCGUAAAACUCUGUUGGUAGAGAAGAACGUUGGUGAGAGUGGAAAGCUCAUCAAGUGACGGUAACUACCCAGAAAGGGACGGCUAACUACGUG
This 497-nucleotide ribosomal RNA is filed under the name uncultured bacterium. RNAcentral describes it as "partial 16S ribosomal RNA". It matches the Rfam family "Bacterial small subunit ribosomal RNA", at positions 28 to 507 of the family's 1533-position model. The record is from RNAcentral.